UGGGGAAUAUUGCACAAUGGGGGAAACCCUGAUGCAGCAACGCCGCGUGGAGGAUGACGCAUUUCGGUGUGUAAACUCCUUUUAUAUACCAAGAUAAUGACGGUAGUAUAUGAAUAAGCACCGGCUAACUCCGUGCCAGCAGCCGCGGUAAUACGGAGGGUGCAAGCGUUACUCGGAAUCACUGGGCGUAAAGGAUGCGUAGGCGGGUGAUCAAGUUGAGAGUGAAAUCCUAUGGCUUAACCAUAGAACUGUUCUCAAAACUGGUUACCUAGAAUAUGGAAGAGGCAGAUGGAAUUAGUGGUGUAGGGGUAAAAUCCGUAGAGAUCACUAGGAAUACCGAUUGCGAAGGCGAUCUGCUGGGACAUUAUUGACGCUGAGGCAUGAAAGCGUGGGGAGCAAACA
This 402-nucleotide ribosomal RNA is filed under the name uncultured Campylobacterota bacterium. RNAcentral's name for it is "bacterial SSU rRNA". It matches the Rfam family "Bacterial small subunit ribosomal RNA", at positions 355 to 774 of the family's 1533-position model. The record is from RNAcentral. Lineage: Bacteria; Pseudomonadati; Campylobacterota.